Molecule: non-coding RNA, 83 nt
Organism: Sorex araneus (European shrew)
Lineage: Eukaryota; Metazoa; Chordata; Mammalia; Eulipotyphla; Soricidae
Source: the annotation of a RefSeq genome assembly
ACUGGGAUGGCUAAGUGGUUAAGGCAUUGGGCUUAAGAUCCAAUGAAUGUAUGUCCACGUGGGUUCGAACCCCACUCCCAGUA